Long non-coding RNA from Cyprinus carpio (common carp), 1044 nucleotides. NCBI's taxonomy places the organism in Eukaryota, Metazoa, Chordata, Actinopteri, Cypriniformes, Cyprinidae. The record is from Ensembl.
AUGCCUCGGAAAGGUAGGAGAUCACGGGCUCAAAAAGUUCGUUGGACAAAGUUAGACCUGACGGGACAGACGAGCGUCAGUAAAGGUGUUGCUCAGGUUUCUGAUGGACAGCAGUACGAAGACGGCAACAGCACAUCUAGAAUUCUAUCCGUGCAGGCGUCUCAUUGCCAGAGUGAUGCAAGGUAUGACGUUUUCUCACGAAAUCAUCAGUGCACAUGUGUAGCUCUGACAUUCCUUGCGUACCACAGUGAGGGAACUUCGUUCGAACAGCCUGAUCUUGACAGAGUGCUAGAGGAAGGUGAUGCUUUGUAUGUCGGCAUUAAAAUGCAACUUAUUGCUGAAGGAAGAUUCCGACAGGAUCUUCUAAGCAUGGCUGAAGUACCUGUGAGCAUCACAACUUCUAACCACAACUACAGCGUCCAAAAGUCAGAAGUGGUGAUGGGAUAUCUAAGAGACAGAGGAACUUCUGAAAUGGAUGCGUGGUGGAUUCCUCUUGACGAAAGACUUCAGUGUCUCUCGACAGAUGUCAGCCAUGCACUGCUUAUUGUUUCUCCAGAGUGCUUUGCUGUGUUCAGAGACAGAUCUGGAAGAUAUGGAUUUUUUGAUUCACAUUCCAGAACUGCUGAAGGUUUGCCACAUCCUACUGGUGACGGAACUGCAGUUAUGCUAACUUUCACCAACCUGCAUGACAUGACCAACAGAUUACUUGAGCUCUUUUGGAAUCGUGGCGCUCAGACUUGCUAUGAAUUCAUGGCUGUUUCAUUUGAAAUGGAGCAACAGUCUGAGGAAACAUGCUCAUCAGCAGCAUGUGUGACACCAUCACAAAUAACUUCACCUCUGCCAAAAACACAAACAACUGCUGACAUCAGAAUCCCUGAAAAUCUUGUUCUGACAGAUGACAAAAACCAAAGUUUCAUAAAGGUUUUAAAAACAAACAAGCAGCGAAGAAGAAAAGAAGUGCGUAAAAUUGUGAAUGAAAAGCAAUCAGCAGGACUUGAGAAAACCGCUCCACAUUUUGGAGUCCGGGAACAAAAAAGAAGAGAA